Molecule: long non-coding RNA, 297 nt
Organism: Penaeus monodon (black tiger shrimp)
Lineage: Eukaryota; Metazoa; Arthropoda; Malacostraca; Decapoda; Penaeidae
Exons: 2
Source: RefSeq, a predicted model, not a curated record
UAAACACACAUACAUCAUACACACAGUACACAUUCAUAUAUCUCUGCGUAAAUUAUAGAAUAAAAAUCACUAGCGGAUAAAUAUUCUUGUAAGUCAAGGUCUCAUGGCUAAAAAAAACGCACAAUGACUCGAUCGACACUUCAUUGUCAUUUUUUGAGCCCAAAACAUAACGUGUGUUAAGAAAAACUUACUGAUCUUGGUACUUUUACCUCGACUUUUAGUUUGGUGAAGCAUAUGUGUGUGUGUGUGUGUGUGUGUGUGUGUGUGUGUGUGUGUGUGUGUGUGUGUGUGUGUGUG